RNAcentral lists this unclassified non-coding RNA (2860 nucleotides) under Hevea brasiliensis (rubber tree). Lineage: Eukaryota; Viridiplantae; Streptophyta; Magnoliopsida; Malpighiales; Euphorbiaceae. The record is from RNAcentral.
AGAGAAGCCAAAAACAGAACCCAACACAGGGAAACAAAGGGAAGAAAAAGAAGAAAGCAGAAAGACAUAGGUUUCACUUUUGAUUUUCUUUGACUGUUUAACAACACAGAGAAGCAGACAAUGACCCAAAGCACACUUUAGUUAGCAAGCCAGCUCAAUCCCUCCAAAAAGCCCCAACUCUGAUUCGCUUCUUCUAAGCCAAUCAAACAAUCCAACCCAUUUAUGUACUUUUGCCUCAUGGAAAUUCCUUCUCUUUUUCCUCCAGCCUGAAUUUUCUCCUAAAAAAGAUGGACUUCAAUCAUAUCUUCAUUCGGGUUCAUGUGUUUCCAUGCAUUGUUGACUCAAGUUGAUGUCAUUGAAGAUGGAACUGCUUUUUGGAGCUUUAUUACUGGCACUCUUACAUUCUUUUGUGUUGUCUGAUUUGCAAGGGGAUGCACUAUAUCAAUUGAAGCUUUCGAUGGGUGCUCCAGCCAAUCAGUUAUCAGAUUGGAAUCCAAAUCAAGUCAACCCAUGCACUUGGUCAAAUGUUAUCUGUGACCCUAGUAAUCAAGUCACUUCUGUAACAUUAUCUGGCAUGAACUGUUCUGGAACCUUGUCCUCCAAAAUAGGAAUUCUGAAUACUCUUACUACACUAACAUUGAAGGGAAAUGGCAUAACUGGUGAGAUACCCAAAGAGUUUGGAAAUUUGUCGAGUUUAUCCAGCUUAGAUUUGGGAAAUAAUCGUUUAAGUGGACUUUGAGUCAAAACAACCUCACUGGAGCUAUCCCUGAAUCACUUUCUCGUCUCCAAAAUUUGAUUAAUAUGUAAGUGACAAAAGGUGGAGACAGUCAGUCCAAUUUUAGAUUGAAACAUUUACAACUUGCUUCAGUAUUCAUAUUGCUUGGUAGCUUUACAAGAUGAUCCAACAUUUUCUGUAAGACUGACGGUCAAAAGUACGUGUUUGCAUACGUGGGCGUCUUUACAAGUUUUUAAAGUCAUAAUUGAAAUUUUCUUUGCAGUCUACUUGAUUCAAAUCACCUCAGUGGUCAUAUUCCUGAGCAUCUGUUCCAAAUUCCAAAAUACAAUUUCACUGGAAAUCGCUUAAAUUGUGGUGCAAACUUUCCCAAACCCUGUGAAUCUGAUAGUAGUGAUUCAGGUGCUUCAAAUAAGCCAAAGAUUGGUAUUAUAGUUGGAGUUGUUGGAGGAACUAUAAUUCUUCUUCUUUUUGGAGGACUUCUGUUUUUUGUUUGCAAGGGUAGACACAAAGGUUACAAACGUGAAGUGUUUGUGGAUGUUGCAGGUGAAGUUGACCGACGAAUUGCUUUUGGUCAAUUGAAAAGAUUUGCAUAUCGGGAAUUACAGCUGGCAACAGACAACUUCAAUGAGAAAAAUAUUCUUGGACAAGGGGGUUUUGGAAAAGUUUAUAAAGGAGUGCUUCAAGAUAACACAAAAGUGGCUGUUAAACGUUUGACUGAUUUUGAAAGUCCAGGAGGAGAUGCAGCUUUCCAACGUGAAGUGGAGAUGAUAAGUGUAGCUGUUCACAGGAAUCUACUACGGCUGAUAGGGUUUUGCACUACACCAUCAGAGCGGCUUUUGGUGUAUCCAUUUAUGCCAAAUUUAAGUGUGGCUUAUCGUCUAAGAGAACGUAAGCCUGAGGAGCCUGUUUUAGGUUGGGAAACAAGAAAAAGAGUGGCAUUAGGUGCAGCACGUGGACUGGAGUACCUUCAUGAACAUUGCAAUCCUAAGAUUAUUCAUCGGGAUGUUAAGGCUGCUAAUGUACUAUUAGAUGAAGAUUUUGAAGCAGUUGUUGGUGACUUUGGCCUGGCGAAGUUGGUGGAUGUAAGGAAGACUAAUGUGACAACUCAAGUUCGUGGGACAAUGGGCCACAUAGCUCCUGAGUACUUAUCUACUGGAAAGUCAUCUGAAAGAACGGAUGUUUUUGGUUAUGGGAUUAUGCUUCUAGAGCUUGUAACAGGUCAACGGGCAAUUGACUUUUCACGGUUGGAAGAGGAGGAUGAUGUCUUGUUGCUCGACCAAGUGCAAUAAUCACUAACAUUUCAACACGUUAUUAUUUGGUUUCUCUGCAUUAAUCUUCUCUGUUUCCUACCUAUAUUUAUCUAGUUAUUUACAUGAUAAAUGCUUGAUGAGAUAAGAACCUAACCUUAGUUUGGAGUAUGAUGUGCCAUUGACGUGUCAUCCUGGUUUCUAGUUAUUAUUAUAACUUUCAUGUUUCACAAUCUUCCAUGUUCUUGUUUGCUGAUUGUUCUGCUCCUCAUCUAUUUGCAUAUGAAGGUCAAAAAGCUGGAGAGGGAAAAAAGACUGGAUGCUAUUGUAGAUCGCAACCUUCAUAAACAUUACGACAUUCAGGAAGUGGAGAUGAUGAUCCAAGUUGCAUUACUCUGUACCCAAGCAUCACCAGAAGACCGUCCAGCAAUGUCAGAGGUUGUGCGAAUGCUGGAAGGAGAGGGUCUGGCUGAGAGAUGGGAAGAGUGGCAGCAUGUUGAGGUUACACGCAGGCAAGAAUAUGAAAGGCUGCAGAGAAGAUUUGACUGGGGAGAAGAUUCAUCAUAUAACCAGGAUGCUAUUGAGCUAUCUGGUGGAAGAUGAGGGUGGCAGAUUUCCACAAUGCAUUCGAAGCAUGCAAUUCGUUUUCUUGGGCUAGUUUUGAUGUUUUCCUUCACUGUAGCAAUUAUGAAUUAAAAAUGAAUUCACAUAUGAUUGGUUGCUCAUGUGAGAAGAUCUCCUCUUUCACCCUUCGUUUCAUUUCAAAUUUGCCUUUUUGUGUAGCCGCUUUUUGUAUAAUGAAGCUUUUCUUGAUGCUAAUAUGGACUAUAAUUUCAUUGCAAGUUUGCUUCCGAUGUGAUUUCAGCAAGUUUCUCUA